This 460-nucleotide ribosomal RNA is filed under the name uncultured bacterium. RNAcentral's name for it is "partial 16S ribosomal RNA". It matches the Rfam family "Bacterial small subunit ribosomal RNA", at positions 338 to 795 of the family's 1533-position model. The record is from RNAcentral.
CCUACGGGUGGCUGCAGUGAGGAAUAUUGGUCAAUGGGCGAGAGCCUGAACCAGCCAAGUCGCGUGAAGGAAGAAGGCUCUAUGGUUUGUAAACUUCUUUUAUCGGGGAGUAAAGUGAGGAACGUGUUCCUUUUUGUAUGUACCAUAUGAAUAAGCAUCGGCUAACUCCGUGCCAGCAGCCGCGGUAAUACGGAGGAUGCGAGCGUUAUCCGGAUUUAUUGGGUUUAAAGGGUGCGUAGGUGGGUAAGUAAGUCAGCGGUGAAAGUUUGUGGCUCAACCAUAAAAUUGCCGUUGAAACUGGUGAACUUGAGUAUAUUAGAGGUAGGCGGAAUGCGUGGUGUAGCGGUGAAAUGCAUAGAUAUCACGCAGAAAUCCGAUGGCGAAGGCAGCUUACUGGACUAUAACUGACGCUGAGGCACGAAAGCGUGGGGAUCAAACAGGAUUAGAUACCCUAGUAGUC